RNAcentral lists this ribosomal RNA (253 nucleotides) under uncultured bacterium. RNAcentral describes it as "partial 16S ribosomal RNA". It matches the Rfam family "Bacterial small subunit ribosomal RNA", at positions 524 to 776 of the family's 1533-position model. The record is from RNAcentral.
UACGUAGGGCGCAAGCGUUGUCCGGAAUUAUUGGGCGUAAAGAGCUCGUGGGCGGCUUGUCGCGUCGAUUGUGAAAGCCCGGGGCUUAACUCCGGGUCUGCAGUCGAUACGGGCAGGCUAGAGUGUGGUAGGGGAGAUCGGAAUUCCUGGUGUAGCGGUGAAAUGCGCAGAUAUCAGGAGGAACACCGGUGGCGAAGGCGGAUCUCUGGGCCAUUACUGACGCUGAGGAGCGAAAGCGUGGGGAGCGAACAGG